AAGUCGUAACAAGGUCUCCGUUGGUGAACCAGCGGAGGGAUCAUUACCGAGUUUACAACUCCCAAACCCCUGUGAACAUACCUUAAUGUUGCCUCGGCGGAUCAGCCCGCCGGAGGACCAACCAAAACUCUUAUUGUAUACCCCCUCGCGGGUUUUUUUAUAAUCUGAGCCUUCUCGGCGCCUCUCGUAGGCGUUUCGAAAAUGAAUCAAAACUUUCAACAACGGAUCUCUUGGUUCUG
This 239-nucleotide unclassified non-coding RNA is filed under the name Trichoderma afroharzianum. RNAcentral describes it as "partial internal transcribed spacer region". The stretch from base 1 to 46 matches the Rfam family "Eukaryotic small subunit ribosomal RNA", at positions 1786 to 1831 of the family's 1831-position model. The record is from RNAcentral. Lineage: Eukaryota; Fungi; Ascomycota; Sordariomycetes; Hypocreales; Hypocreaceae.